Molecule: small nuclear RNA, 158 nt
Organism: Rana temporaria (common frog)
Lineage: Eukaryota; Metazoa; Chordata; Amphibia; Anura; Ranidae
Product: U1 spliceosomal RNA
Exons: 1
Source: RefSeq, a predicted model, not a curated record
AUACCUACCUAUAAGGCAAUAUACCAUGACCGCAAAGGUGGUUCUCUCAGAGUUAUGGUCAUCCAUUGUACCCCACGUGUGUUGACAUCUUGGAUUUACCCAAAUGUGGGUAAAUAAGCUUCAUAAAUUGUGGUUGUGCUAAGUUAACCUGUCAGACU